UUGCUACUCCCUCAGUCUUAAAAUUCUUGUCUUAGAUUUAUCUAGAUACGGAUGUAUCAAGUCAUAUUUUAGUAUUAGAUACAUCCGUAUCUAGACAAAUGUAAGACAAGAAUUUUGAGACGGAGGGAGUACUUU
Non-coding RNA from Triticum aestivum (bread wheat), 135 nucleotides. The record is from Rfam. Lineage: Eukaryota; Viridiplantae; Streptophyta; Magnoliopsida; Poales; Poaceae.